Molecule: ribosomal RNA, 253 nt
Filed under: uncultured bacterium
Lineage: Bacteria
Description: partial 16S ribosomal RNA
Rfam family: Bacterial small subunit ribosomal RNA
Source: RNAcentral
UACGAAGGGGGCUAGCGUUGCUCGGAAUCACUGGGCGUAAAGGGUGCGUAGGCGGGUCUUUAAGUCAGGGGUGAAAUCCUGGAGCUCAACUCCAGAACUGCCUUUGAUACUGAAGAUCUUGAGUUCGGGAGAGGUGAGUGGAACUGCGAGUGUAGAGGUGAAAUUCGUAGAUAUCGGGAGGAACACCAGUGGCGAAGGCGGCGACCUGGGCUGACACUGACGCUGAGGUUCGAAAGCGUGGGGAGCAAACAGG